UCUCCGUAGGUGAACCUGCGGAGGGAUCAUUACUGAGUGAGGGCUUCGGUCCGACCUCCAACCCUUUGUGAACCAAACUUGUUGCUUCGGGGGCGACCCUGCCGGCACUCGGUCGCCGGGCGCCCCCGAAGGUCUCCCAACACUGCAUCUUUGCGUCGGAGUUUAACACAAAUGAAACAAAACUUUCAACAACGGAUCUCUUGGUUCUGGCAUCGAUGAAGAACGCAGC
RNAcentral lists this unclassified non-coding RNA (229 nucleotides) under uncultured fungus. RNAcentral describes it as "sequence contains ITS1, 5.8S rRNA gene". The stretch from base 181 to 229 matches the Rfam family "5.8S ribosomal RNA", at positions 1 to 49 of the family's 154-position model. Lineage: Eukaryota; Fungi. The record is from RNAcentral.